Molecule: long non-coding RNA, 947 nt
Organism: Poecilia reticulata (guppy)
Lineage: Eukaryota; Metazoa; Chordata; Actinopteri; Cyprinodontiformes; Poeciliidae
Source: RefSeq, a predicted model, not a curated record
ACAAGUGACAGCAAUGAGUUAAUCAGCAGACAACAAGGAAGGGAGCGGCAGGGAGCAGGAGCUGCAUCACAUGACAGAAAACACUGAAAUCCUUUCACUGAGGAAAGAAGGUGGGCAAGACUUGAGACAACCCACACAACAGAACACAUCUCCUAAAAAGCUCUUCAAACAAGAUCUCCACAGGUGGGCGUUCCAUCCUCACAGCGGGCAGACCUUGCAUCAUUAGGUCCUGUGGAUAUAAGGAGCUGCAUGACAACCUCUCUUCACUGGAUCUCAUUCAGUUUCCUUGUUCCAAGCGUCCACCUGCAAACCUACAACAUCAAGAUCUCUUCCAGAACCUACCUACUCGUUCCACGGUUGUUCUCUGUACCGUCAGUGUCUUCCAGAUUUCCACUUGCCUGCUCACUCUCAGGCACUCACUGUAUUCCCUAUAAAAUGACAACCUGACUGAGAAGUGACACUCCCAUCUGAAUUUUCAAAGACAUUGCAACCAGAAGCUAAUAAGAGCAUCUUAAUUUGCAGAGCACCUGUUGCCUUUUCACCACCAACUCCACAGCUGAAUAACAUAGAUGAUCAAGCGUCCUGCACGGGUCAAGACACCAACAACAGGGUCUUUACACUUUCAGGCAAUGUGGGGACGAGGUGUCCAAACACAACAUCCAGAAGAAGUAAAUCAUCUUUUCACUUGACCCAUGUUUGUGCUUCAGUGGAGCAUCUGUAAAAACCACAUGCAAUCCAUUUCCUCCAUUUCCAUGUAAUAGAAGGAGUGAAGAUAUUAAAUAUUUUGGUAUUCAAUUGGAUACUCCCUCGAAUGAUCAAAUAAUGAGAAUCAACUCAUAUGCCAGCUCAAGAUUCCUGUAUUCCAGAGGUCACCAACUUUUUUGCAACUGAGAAUAAUGAGAAGGAGAACCAUUUUUGAUAAAUACAGUUUACUUAGAACACUUUCA